This 500-nucleotide ribosomal RNA is filed under the name uncultured bacterium. Its description in RNAcentral is "partial 16S ribosomal RNA". It matches the Rfam family "Bacterial small subunit ribosomal RNA", at positions 30 to 523 of the family's 1533-position model. The record is from RNAcentral.
AUUGAACGCUGGCGGCAUGCCUUACACAUGCAAGUCGAACGGCAGCACGGGAGCAAUCCUGGUGGCGAGUGGCGAACGGGUGAGUAAUAUAUCGGAACGUGCCCAGUCGUGGGGGAUAACGUAGCGAAAGCUACGCUAAUACCGCAUACGAUCUAUGGAUGAAAGCGGGGGAUCGCAAGACCUCGCGCGAUUGGAGCGGCCGAUAUCAGAUUAGGUAGUUGGUGAGGUAAAGGCUCACCAAGCCGACGAUCUGUAGCUGGUCUGAGAGGACGACCAGCCACACUGGGACGGAGACACGGCCCAGACUCCUACGGGAGGCAGCAGUGGGGAAUUUUGGACAAUGGGCGCAAGCCUGAUCCAGCAAUGCCGCGUGCAGGAUGAAGGCCUUCGGGUUGUAAACUGCUUUUGUACGGAACGAAACGGUGAGCUCUAAUACAGUUUGCUAAUGACGGUACCGUAAGAACAAGCACCGGCUAACUACGUGCCAGCCGCCGCCGUAA